This 778-nucleotide ribosomal RNA is filed under the name uncultured Neocallimastigales. RNAcentral's name for it is "partial large subunit ribosomal RNA". It matches the Rfam family "Eukaryotic large subunit ribosomal RNA", at positions 20 to 656 of the family's 3401-position model. Lineage: Eukaryota; Fungi; Neocallimastigomycota; Neocallimastigomycetes; Neocallimastigales. The record is from RNAcentral.
CAUCACUACGCUAGAUGCAUAUCAAUAAGCGGAGGAAAAGGAAACUAACAAGGAUUCCCUUAGUAACGGCGAGUGAAGCGGGAAGAGCUCAAAUUUGAAAUCUUAAAGGGUUUCCCUUUACGAAUUGUAGUUUAAAGAAGUGUUUUCUGUUGGAGUUUCGGUAAAAGUUCUUUGGAAUAGGACAUCAUAGAGGGUGAGAAUCCCGUAUUUGACCGUUACUUUCCAGCUGUGUGAUACACUUUCAAAGAGUCGGAUUGUUUGGGAAUGCUGUCCAAAAUGGGUGGUAAAUUUCAUCUAAAGCUAAAUAUUGGCGAGAGACCGAUAGCGAACAAGUACCGUGAGGGAAAGAUGAAAAGAACUUUGAAAAGAGAGUUAAACAGUACAUGAAAUUGUCAAAAGGGAAGCGUUUGUCACCAGUGUUGUUUAGUUGAAAAUCAAUUCAAUAAUUUUUGAUUUUAAGUAGUAUUGACUUCAUCAGCUUGCUGCUUUCUUUUCAGGAAUUAUUGAAUGCACUUUUCAGUUAACAAGUCAACAUCAAUUUCUUUUGUUGUAAAAGGGUAAGAGGAAGGUGGCUUACGUUUCGGCGUAAGUGUUUAUAGCCUUUUACCUCUGCAAUCGGAGAGAUUGAGGACAGCAGCGUAGACUCCUUCUGGGGUUAGAUACACUUGUGCUAAGCUAUAGCCUUGUAUAGACAACUUGUUGACUAUGCUCAGUCAUGUAGCUUACUCGCUUGUGCUAUUUUACCUACGCUUAGGAUGUUGACACACGCGCGUGCUCG